GAAGUUUUAGUUUAUUUUUUUUUAGAAUAAAGAAUUGUAAAUUCUUAGGAUUUUGCUUUG
RNAcentral lists this transfer RNA (60 nucleotides) under Onchocerca volvulus. RNAcentral's name for it is "tRNA-Tyr". The record is from RNAcentral. Lineage: Eukaryota; Metazoa; Nematoda; Chromadorea; Rhabditida; Onchocercidae.